GGCGAGCAGGCAGGCGGGGGGCGCUGGGCUUCUGAGCUGCGGGAGCGGCCCUCCUCCGACCCCUCCCGCGGGCUCUAGGAGUGCGCCUGGUGUUUACACACUGUCCUUCCGACACAGGAUCAAGUUUCAGGCCGCGCUGGAGGCGCCGGGGCCGGCCACAGGCCGAGGACAGGGGAAGAGUUGGAGCGGGAUCUAAGGCAGCGCUGCGCCGACGAAAAGGCCCAGCGCUCGUGGGCACAGCAAGCGCAGCACUCUCCCCGCGGCGGGGUGGAGAGAAGUGCACCAGGCAGGGUGGCAGGAGCUGGUGGCGCUGCAGUGCACUACCCACAGGGAGAAGCACCUCUGAGUUGCAGGAGCUAGGUCCUGCGCUCACCAGGGUUGGAGAACUCACUCUGGCAGGGCUCAAGAGCUAUACUCCAGAACCCGGGCAUGACGACGGCAGCGAGUUUCCCCAGGUGGCCGACUGCAUUACGGAGCUCCGGAGACAAACCGAGGAAAGGCACAGCCCAAAGGGCGGGAAGAGACAGGAAAACUUCCGAGAGAGGCCGUUGGACAAAGUCGGGGGAAAGCCUCUCAGGGUGACCGGGUGGAGACUCGGAAACCCUCUCGGCGCGAAGGUGCCGCGCGAGUUCCAGCGAGCAGCCGGCCCAGCCAAGUGGCNNNNNNNNNNNGGAAUCGCAGGACGACAGCGUGGGGGAGGGGGACCGAGACAGCAAGUAAACCCCAACUAGAGCUUUCUGCACACACCACCCCGACCCACUCCGGUGGACCGGGACUCGGGUCUGUGAGGCGUCGGCUCUGGGCUUUCAUCCUGGUGUGUGUGGGGGGCAGGGAGUUCACCGGCGCGGAGGAUGGGGAGGGCAGUCUGAGAUGUCUUUGGUCUCAUUUGAUGACCGCCGGUCCCAUGGGCUCCCACCCCUGCUCUGUGGAGCCAAGGGUGUUGGAUCAGUGUUUCUUGGCCGGCAUGAGUAGGCAAGGGGGCGAGCGAAAGCAAAUUUGCGAUCGCUUCCCCAACUGCCACCCACCCCUUGGCCCCCCUUGCACCCAAGAAAGGGGAGGGCACCUAGCCUGUGCUCCACCCCCCACGGGUCGCUCCCCUCUGCCUCGGAAGCUCUGACUUCGAGCGAGGGUUUUCCCCUUUCCUCAGGGCUCGAAGGGUUUCUAACUUCCUCUAAACCUCCCUCCACGCUCCGAAAAGCCCCGAGGAGAGGAGCUGAGAGGAAGCACGCCGUUUGUGUGCGAAAUGAGGACCAUGUGUGAGGAUGGCGGCAUCAGAGUACAGCCGCGGGGGAAGGGGGUUGUGAAGGCCCCCGCGCGGCCUGGGGCUCUGGGUCGCAGCAGCCAGCACUUCGGCUCAGCGCUGGGGACUCGGAGCUGCAGCGAAAGGGAGUGGAGAGGCUGCUGGGUUGGCCUCGUGGCUGACGGCGAGGAGGGGGUGCAGGAGCUGCCG
RNAcentral lists this long non-coding RNA (1450 nucleotides) under Fukomys damarensis (Damara mole-rat). Its description in RNAcentral is "lncRNA (ENSFDAG00000026017.1)". Lineage: Eukaryota; Metazoa; Chordata; Mammalia; Rodentia; Bathyergidae. The record is from RNAcentral.